This 1347-nucleotide ribosomal RNA is filed under the name uncultured bacterium. RNAcentral describes it as "bacterial SSU rRNA". It matches the Rfam family "Bacterial small subunit ribosomal RNA", at positions 28 to 1381 of the family's 1533-position model. The record is from RNAcentral.
GACGAACUUUGGCGGCGUGCUUAACACAUGCAAGUCGAACGGAAAGGCCCUGCUUUUGUGGGGUGCUCGAGUGGCGAACGGGUGAGUAACACGUGAGUAACCUGCCCUUGACUUUGGGAUAACUUCAGGAAACUGGGGCUAAUACCGGAUAGGAGCUCCUGCUGCAUGGUGGGGGUUGGAAAGUUUCGGCGGUUGGGGAUGGACUCGCGGCUUAUCAGCUUGUUGGUGGGGUAGUGGCUUACCAAGGCUUUGACGGGUAGCCGGCCUGAGAGGGUGACCGGCCACAUUGGGACUGAGAUACGGCCCAGACUCCUACGGGAGGCAGCAGUGGGGAAUAUUGCACAAUGGGCGGAAGCCUGAUGCAGCAACGCCGCGUGCGGGAUGACGGCCUUCGGGUUGUAAACCGCUUUCGCCUGUGACGAAGCGUGAGUGACGGUAAUGGGUAAAGAAGCACCGGCUAACUACGUGCCAGCAGCCGCGGUGAUACGUAGGGUGCGAGCGUUGUCCGGAUUUAUUGGGCAUAAAGGGCUCGUAGGUGGUUGAUCGCGUCGGAAGUGUAAUCUUGGGGCUUAACCCUGACCGUGCUUUCGAAUACGGGUUGACUUGAGGAAGGUAGGGGAGAAUGGAAUUCCUGGUGGAGCGGUGGAAUGCGCAGAUAUCAGGAGGAACACCAGUGGCGAAGGCGGUUCUCUGGGCCUUUCCUGACGCUGAGGAGCGAAAGCGUGGGGAGCGAACAGGCUUAGAUACCCUGGUAGUCCACGCUGUAAACGGUGGGUACUAGGUGUGGGGUCCAUUCCACGGGUUCCGUGCCGUAGCUAACGCUUUAAGUACCCCGCCUGGGGAGUACGGCCGCAAGGCUAAAACUCAAAGGAAUUGACGGGGCCCCGCACAAGCGGCGGAGCAUGCGGAUUAAUUCGAUGCAACGCGUAGAACCUUACCUGGGUUUGACAUGGAUCGGGAGUGCUCAGAGAUGGGUGUGCCUCUUUUGGGGUCGGUUCACAGGUGGUGCAUGCCUGUCGUCAGCUCGUGUCGUGAGAUGUUGGGUUAAGUCCCGCAACGAGCGCAACCCUUGUUCACUGUUGCCAGCACGUUAUGGUGGGGACUCAGUGGAGACCGCCGGGGUCAACUCGGAGGGAGGUGGGGAUGACGUCAAGUCCUCAUGCCCCUUAUGUCCAGGGCUUCACGCAUGCUACAAUGGCUGGUACAGAGAGUGGCGAGCCUGUGAGGGUGAGCGAAUCUCGGAAAGCCGGUCUCAGUUCGGAUUGGGGUCUGCAACUCGACCUCAUGAAGUCGGAGUCGCUAGUAAUCGCAGAUCAGCAACGCUGCGGUGGAUACGUUCCCGGGGCU